This 74-nucleotide transfer RNA is filed under the name Sediminivirga luteola. RNAcentral's name for it is "tRNA-Ala". The record is from RNAcentral. Lineage: Bacteria; Bacillati; Actinomycetota; Actinomycetes; Micrococcales; Brevibacteriaceae.
CCGCCUGGUGGAUGGCGGUGUUCCCGGGACUGGCGAUCCUGGUGACGGUGCUGGCGUUCAACCUCGUGGGCGAC